RNAcentral lists this transfer RNA (72 nucleotides) under Camelus bactrianus (Bactrian camel). It matches the Rfam family "tRNA". Rfam says of the family: Transfer RNA (tRNA) molecules are approximately 80 nucleotides in length. RNAcentral also lists the same sequence under 2 other names. The record is from Rfam by way of RNAcentral. Lineage: Eukaryota; Metazoa; Chordata; Mammalia; Artiodactyla; Camelidae.
GGAGGUAUAGCUCAGUGGUAGAGUGCGUGCUUAGCAUGCACAAUGUCCUGGAUUCAAUCCCCAGUACCUCCA